AGUUCGAUUCUACCAGAUUGAACGCUGGCGGAUGCUUUACACAUGCAAGUCGAACGGCAGCACGGACUUCGGUCUGGUGGCGAGUGGCGAACGGGUGAGUAAUGAUCGGAACGUGCCCAAGAAGGGGAUAACUACGCGAAAGCGUAGCUAAUACCGCAUACGCCCUUCGGGGGAAAGCGGGGGGACCUUCGGGCCUCUUCGCACUAUUAGAUGUGGCCGAUAUCGGAUUAGCUAGUUGGUGGGUAACGCUCACCAAGGCGACGAUCCGUAGCUGGUUUGAGAGGACGACUAGUCACACUGGGACUGAGACACGGCCCAGACUCCUACGGGAGGCAGCAGUGGGGAAUUUCCGGAUAAUAAAACCCCUGAUCCAGCCAUCCCGCGUGUGCGAUGAAGGCCUUCGGGUUGUAAAGCACUUUGGCAGGAAAGAAACGGCACGGGAUAAUACCCCGUGCAACUGACGGUACCUGCAGAAUAAGCACCGGCUAACUACGUGCCAGCAGCCGCGGUAAUACGUAGGGUGCAAGCUGCUAACGGGAACUUACUUGGCGCAGCGUGCGCAGGCGGUUCGGAAAGAAAGAUGAAAUCCUGAGCUAACUUGGAACUGUAUUUUUAACUACCGAGCUAGAGCAAGUGCUUCAUGGUGGAAUUCCGCGUAGCAGUGAAAUGCGUAGAUAUGCGGAGGAACACCGAUGGCGAAGGCAGCCUCCGAUAACACUGACGCUCAUGCACGAGCGUGGGGAGCAAACAGAUUAGAUACCCUGGUAGUCCACGCCCUAAACGAUGUCAACUAGCUGUUGGGGCCGGGCCUGGUAGCGCAGCUAACGCGUGAAGUUGACCGCCUAGGAGUACGGCUGCAAGAUUAAAACUCAAAGGGAAUUGACGGGGACCCGCACAAGCGGUGGAUGAUGUGGAUUAAUUCGGAUGCAACGCGAAAAACCUUACUCUACCCUUGACAUGUCUGGAAUCCCGAAGAGAUUUGGGAGUGUCGCAAGAGAACCGAACACAGGUGCCGCAUGGCUGUCGUCAGCUCGUGUCGAGAUGCUGGGUUAAGUCCUGCAGGGCUCAGCGCAACCCUUGUCAUUAGUUGCUACGAAAGGGCACUCUAAUGAGACUGCCGGUGACAAACCGGAGGAAGCGGUGGGGAUGACGUCGUUCUCAUGGCCCCCAGGGUAGGGCUUCACACGUCAUACAAUGGUCGGGACAGAGGGUCGCCAACCCGCGAGGGGGAGCCAAUCCUGAAACCCGAUCGUAGUCCUGAUCGCAGUCUGCAACUCGACUGCGUGAAGUCGAAUCGCUAGUAAUCGCGGAUCAUGUCGCGGUGAAUAUGUUCCCGGGUCUUGUACACACCGCCCGUCACACCAUGGGAGUGGUUUUACCAGAAGAAGUUAGGCCUAACCGUAAGGAGGGCGAUUACCACGGUAGGAUUCAUGACUGGGGUGUCGGGCAAGGUAA
This 1455-nucleotide ribosomal RNA is filed under the name uncultured Bordetella sp. Its description in RNAcentral is "partial 16S-23S ribosomal RNA intergenic spacer". It matches the Rfam family "Bacterial small subunit ribosomal RNA". The record is from RNAcentral. Lineage: Bacteria; Pseudomonadati; Pseudomonadota; Betaproteobacteria; Burkholderiales; Alcaligenaceae.